GGGCCCCAGCUAGGGGGGCGCUCGAGGGGAACCGAGUGAAGUGAGGGCUCCGCCAGAGCAGCACCCCUUUCCCCGCCGUCCCUCCCGGACUAGCCAGUUCUUGUCAGAGAUUCCUUUGUCUUCGGCGCUGGUCCCUCCACACCAAGAUGAAGAAAUUGAGAAACAGAGAGUAUGAUGAUUUGCUUAAGACCAGAUGACGAUUAUCUGCAGAAUGAAGACAAUCCUGACCUCCAUCAGUGGAUCCCUUCGCCACCUCCACAGUCUCCCCAUUGGAUGGACACAGACACAUGACAGAUGCACACAUAUGUGCAAAACACUUAUAAAGAACACACUCCUCCACCUCCACCUCACUACCACGCAAUCCCAAGACAGCAUUGCUCUUCUCUGGACCCAGCCACUCAGUCAACACCUAUUUACAAACAUUGUGCUAGGCACUGGCAAUAAAAUAAUGAACACCAGAAGACACAGUUCCUGAGUCUCACAGGGAUGACCCAGGAUCAUUCAGAGUCUAGGAUGAGGCAGGGAUUAGGUGGGGAUGAGGAUGAUAAGAGCAGCGUUGGGGAAGUACAGGAUAAGAUGAGAACACACACCAAGAGCACCUAACUCUUUCUCUGGAGGACCAG
This 623-nucleotide non-coding RNA is filed under the name Pongo abelii (Sumatran orangutan). The record is from RNAcentral. Lineage: Eukaryota; Metazoa; Chordata; Mammalia; Primates; Hominidae.